Antechinus flavipes (yellow-footed antechinus) is the source of this 417-nucleotide long non-coding RNA. RefSeq lists it as uncharacterized. Lineage: Eukaryota; Metazoa; Chordata; Mammalia; Dasyuromorphia; Dasyuridae. The record is from RefSeq and is a predicted model, not a curated record. The transcript is spliced from 2 exons.
GUGUUAGUUCAGUGUGAUUCCCCUCUAGGGAUAUUUGCAUUUUACAAGAGGAGUAUAGAGGAGGCAAAUUCUGGCUCGCCAUAUGGAAAAUUUUCCUAACGAUUAUAACUGCCCUCAAAAUGGAAUGGACUGUUUCAUAAAAUAAUGAUUCCCCUGCGACUGAGGGGCCUUAAGAGGAGGCAGAAGACCCCUCAUUAGGGAUGUAGAGACACUCCUAUUCAGUCUAGACGCACUUCAGUUUCCGCUGUCCCUUUGAAAGGAGAAGAUGGAGCCCCCUGUGGUCCCCCGGAGCCGGCCAGAUUUCCAGGAACAGAUGGUGGGAUCGCCCGGCGGCUCCAGCACCGCCAACCUGCCUCCCACCAAACCCGGCUGAGUGAAUUAUUAAAGAGGCAAUUUCCUUUCGGCUUUCCAGUAAAA